RNAcentral lists this microRNA precursor (106 nucleotides) under Podarcis lilfordi (Lilford's wall lizard). Lineage: Eukaryota; Metazoa; Chordata; Lepidosauria; Squamata; Lacertidae. The record is from RNAcentral.
AUAAGCUUUUGUGUGGUAUAAGCUUUCAUGUGCAUGCACACUUCUUCAGGUAUCUUAAGAAGCGUGCAUGCACACGAAAGCUUAUACCAAGAACAAACUUACUUGG